UUAGGUGUGAAUGUAUGAUGAGGAUAGCAGUGAUAAGCUUAUGUACUUCGUCGACCACUGGCUUGCCCUUGACAAAGUUGAUGGUUCAAUCUGUAGAGGACUACCAGCAGUACGUAAAGGCACCCCUAGCCUGCCAGUGUUACGCUAUGUGGUUGCUGUGACAACAGGAAGUUGGAUGCUGGAGUGGACAGUGCAAAUUUUUAUACUCAAUCUGAUUGGUGUAGAUGGAGAUAUUGGCUUGAGGGAGGGUACCUCACUGGAGCCAUUUCUAAAAGUUGAUUCCCUUGGCAGCCUGGACAAACUGACAUAUUCAUUGUUGAAGCCGUUUCUGUUGGGAAAAAAAUGAAAAUGAAGUGACCUUCGGCAGUCUUGAUCAGAUCAAGAGAGCAUCAUGGAGAAACACCAGAGAAAGGGAAUUCAAGACAAAAAACACCAAAGGAUGUGCUUUCAAAGAAAGGUUGCAAAACAUGAAAGAAAAGAAUGAAACCCUAGUGCAGUUCUUG
This is a long non-coding RNA of Mya arenaria, 503 nucleotides long. RefSeq lists it as uncharacterized. The transcript has 4 exons. The record is from RefSeq and is a predicted model, not a curated record. Lineage: Eukaryota; Metazoa; Mollusca; Bivalvia; Myida; Myidae.